GUGCUCACUUUGGCAGCAUAUACACUAAAAUUAAAGCAAGACAGAGAAGAUUAGCAUGGCCCCGGCUCAAGGAUGACACAUAAAUUCAUGAAGUGUUCCAUAUUUUU
Small nuclear RNA from Cebus imitator (Panamanian white-faced capuchin), 107 nucleotides. NCBI's taxonomy places the organism in Eukaryota, Metazoa, Chordata, Mammalia, Primates, Cebidae. The record is from RefSeq and is a predicted model, not a curated record.